RNAcentral lists this ribosomal RNA (1040 nucleotides) under Microbacterium phyllosphaerae. RNAcentral's name for it is "bacterial SSU rRNA". It matches the Rfam family "Bacterial small subunit ribosomal RNA", at positions 41 to 1094 of the family's 1533-position model. The record is from RNAcentral. Lineage: Bacteria; Bacillati; Actinomycetota; Actinomycetes; Micrococcales; Microbacteriaceae.
GGGGUGCUUACACAUGCAGUCGAACGGUGAAGCCCAGCUUGCUGGGUGGAUCAGUGGCGAACGGGUGAGUAACACGUGAGCAACCUGCCCCUGACUCUGGGAUAAGCGCUGGAAACGGCGUCUAAUACUGGAUACGAGAAGCGACCGCAUGGUCAGUUUCUGGAAAGAAUUUCGGUUGGGGAUGGGCUCGCGGCCUAUCAGCUUGUUGGUGAGGUAAUGGCUCACCAAGGCGUCGACGGGUAGCCGGCCUGAGAGGGUGACCGGCCACACUGGGACUGAGACACGGCCCAGACUCCUACGGGAGGCAGCAGUGGGGAAUAUUGCACAAUGGGCGGAAGCCUGAUGCAGCAACGCCGCGUGAGGGAUGACGGCCUUCGGGUUGUAAACCUCUUUUAGCAGGGAAGAAGCGAAAGUGACGGUACCUGCAGAAAAAGCACCGGCUAACUACGUGCCAGCAGCCGCGGUAAUACGUAGGGUGCAAGCGUUAUCCGGAAUUAUUGGGCGUAAAGAGCUCGUAGGCGGUUUGUCGCGUCUGCUGUGAAAUCUGGGGGCUCAACCCCCAGCCUGCAGUGGGUACGGGCAGACUAGAGUGCGGUAGGGGAGAUUGGAAUUCCUGGUGUAGCGGUGGAAUGCGCAGAUAUCAGGAGGAACACCGAUGGCGAAGGCAGAUCUCUGGGCCGUAACUGACGCUGAGGAGCGAAAGGGUGGGGAGCAAACAGGCUUAGAUACCCUGGUAGUCCACCCCGUAAACGUUGGGAACUAGUUGUGGGGUCCAUUCCACGGAUUCCGUGACGCAGCUAACGCAUUAAGUUCCCCGCCUGGGGAGUACGGCCGCAAGGCUAAAACUCAAAGGAAUUGACGGGGACCCGCACAAGCGGCGGAGCAUGCGGAUUAAUUCGAUGCAACGCGAAGAACCUUACCAAGGCUUGACAUAUACGAGAACGGGCCAGAAAUGGUCAACUCUUUGGACACUCGUAAACAGGUGGUGCAUGGGUUGUCGUCAGCUCGUGUCGUGAGAUGUUGGGUUAAGUCCCGCAACG